UACCACUUUGUGAGUCAUGACUGGGGUGAAGUCGUAACAAGGUAACCGUAGGGGAACCUGCGGUUGGAUCACCUCCUUACCUUAAAGAA
Molecule: ribosomal RNA, 89 nt
Filed under: Klebsiella pneumoniae
Lineage: Bacteria; Pseudomonadati; Pseudomonadota; Gammaproteobacteria; Enterobacterales; Enterobacteriaceae
Description: partial 16S ribosomal RNA
Rfam family: Bacterial small subunit ribosomal RNA (bases 1-79)
Source: RNAcentral